Molecule: transfer RNA, 73 nt
Filed under: Stegodyphus mimosarum
Lineage: Eukaryota; Metazoa; Arthropoda; Arachnida; Araneae; Eresidae
Rfam family: tRNA
About the family: Transfer RNA (tRNA) molecules are approximately 80 nucleotides in length. Their secondary structure includes four short double-helical elements and three loops (D, anti-codon, and T loops).
Source: Rfam by way of RNAcentral
GCCUUCGUGGUGCAGUGGUCAGCACACUUGGCACGGAUUCAAGAGGACUGUGGUUCGAGUCCUGGAGAGGGCA